AUACGAAUGGUGCGAGCGUUGUUCGGAAUCACUGGGCAUAAAGAGCACGUAGGCGGUGGCGUAUGUCAGGUGUGAAAUCCCUCGGCUCAACCGAGGAACUGCAUCUGAAACUGCGCCGCUAGAGUGCGGGAGGGGAGAGUGGAAUUCCAGGUGGAGCGGUGAAAUGCGUAGAUAUCUGGAGGAACGCCGGAGGCGAAAGCGACUCUCUGGUCCGCAACUGACGCUGAGGUGCGAAAGCUAGGGGAGCGAACAGGAUUAGAAACCCCAGUAGUCC
This 274-nucleotide ribosomal RNA is filed under the name uncultured bacterium. RNAcentral's name for it is "partial 16S ribosomal RNA". It matches the Rfam family "Bacterial small subunit ribosomal RNA", at positions 523 to 796 of the family's 1533-position model. The record is from RNAcentral.